Molecule: transfer RNA, 81 nt
Filed under: Bacteroidales bacterium
Lineage: Bacteria; Pseudomonadati; Bacteroidota; Bacteroidia; Bacteroidales
Description: tRNA-Leu
Rfam family: tRNA
About the family: Transfer RNA (tRNA) molecules are approximately 80 nucleotides in length. Their secondary structure includes four short double-helical elements and three loops (D, anti-codon, and T loops).
Source: RNAcentral
GUGUCAGUGGUGGAGUGGCAACACGGAGGACUUAAGAUCCUUUGCCGAAGGGUAUCGCAGGUUCGAAUCCUGCCUGACACA